Molecule: long non-coding RNA, 973 nt
Filed under: Mytilus galloprovincialis (Mediterranean mussel)
Lineage: Eukaryota; Metazoa; Mollusca; Bivalvia; Mytilida; Mytilidae
Source: RNAcentral
UGGGGUGUUAGAUAGGACAUUAUAAAAAAAUGUGUGAUAGAUACAAUAGAACAAUUAUUACAAAGAUAUGAUGUCUGUAUGUAUUAUAUAGUUGAUUGUGUAUGACUGGGAUGUCCCAAAUGCCUGACUAGGGUGCUAUGAGGGCAUGACUGGGGUGUUAGUUGAAGACAUUAUCAAUGAAGGUGUGAUCGAUACAAUAGAACAAUUAUUACAAAGAUAUGAUGUCUGUAUGUAUUAUAUAGUUGAUUGUGUAUGACUGGGAUGUCCCAAAUGCCUGAUUAGGGUGUUACAAGGGCAUGACUGGGGUGUUAGAUGAAGACAUUAUAAAUGAAGGUGUGAUAGAUACAAUAGAACAAUUAUUACAAAGAUAUGAUGUCUGUAUGUAUUAUAUAGUUGAUUGUGUAUGACUGGGAUGUCCCAAAUGCCUGAUUAGGGUGUAACAAGGGCAUGACUGGGGUGUUAGAUGAAGACAUUAUAAAUGAAGGUGUGAUAGAUACAAUAGAACAAUUAUUACAAAGAUAUGAUGUCUGUAUGUAUUAUAUAGUUGAUUGUGUACGACUAGGAUGUCACAAAUGCCUGACUAGGGUGUUAAAAGGGCAUGAGUGGGGUGUUAGAUAGGACAUUAUAAAAAAAAUGUGUGAUAGAUACAAUAGAACAAUUAUUACAAAGAUAUGAUGUCUGUAUGUAUUAUAUAGUUGAUUGUGUAUGACUGGGAUGUCCCAAAUGCCUGACUAGGGUGCUAUGAGGGCAUGACUGGGGUGUUAGAUGAAGACAUUAUAAAUGAAGGUGUGAUCGAUACAAUAGAACAAUUAUUACAAAGAUAUGAUGUCUGUAUGUAUUAUAUAGUUGAUUGUGUACGACUAGAAGUCACAAAUGCCUGACUAGGGUGUAAAAAGGGCAUGAGUGGGGUGUUAGAUAGGACAUUAUAAAAAAAAAUGUGUGAUAGAUACAAUAGAACAAUUAUUACAACGAU